GCCCUAACCCUAACCAUUAUGAGGGCCCUAACCCUAACCCUAGCGCUUGAUGUAGCCCAAACCGUGGCCCUGACCCUAACCCUAACCGUCGCGCUAGCCCUAAACCCUAACCCUAGCGCUUGAUCUAGCCCCAACCGUGGCCCUAACCCUAAGCCUAACCCUAGCCCUAGCCUCGGAUUUGAACCCUAACCCUAAUACUGACCCUAACCCUAACCCUACUGGUCAGUUUAAGCCUAACCACAGGAGAAAUAUAAAUAUAUUAUUCAGAAUUAAAAACCAAACAGCGAUUAAAGGGUUAACAUUUUACAAACUAAAUAGAGUUGAAUUUAAACUAAAUAUCCGAGAGAAAUUCAGUUAAUUUCUUGUCCAAAGGGUAUAAAAGGGAAAACAGGACAUGUGUGCAUAGACCUGAUGAAGACCAAAUAAGGUCGAAACGUCGUCGCGAUGCACACCAAUUGUACAUAGUUCAUGUGUGUUCAUGUACCUGUUUGUCUGUUUGUUUGUGUGUUUGUGUGUACAAAAACAAUCAAUAACCUAAAAAAAGAGAUUAAUUAAACAACAAUCAUGUUACACAACACACUAAAACCAAAUUAAAUACAAACCUUAAACACAAAUUAGUGAUCCAUGGGGGCCGGGGGAGCGUGUCCGGUGGGCGAAGGCCCGUGCAUUCCCCGCUCCCCGCAGACCCAAGUAGGGUCACUAUAGGGGAGACGGGAUUAUUUCCCCUCACCUAACC
Non-coding RNA from Xyrichtys novacula (pearly razorfish), 736 nucleotides. The record is from the annotation of a GenBank genome assembly. NCBI's taxonomy places the organism in Eukaryota, Metazoa, Chordata, Actinopteri, Labriformes, Labridae.